RNAcentral lists this transfer RNA (73 nucleotides) under Paramuricea clavata. It matches the Rfam family "tRNA". From Rfam's summary of the family: Transfer RNA (tRNA) molecules are approximately 80 nucleotides in length. The record is from Rfam by way of RNAcentral. Lineage: Eukaryota; Metazoa; Cnidaria; Anthozoa; Malacalcyonacea; Plexauridae.
GACCACGUAGCUCAGUUGGUAGAGCAUUGGACUAGUAUUCCAAAGGUCGCGCGUUCGAUUCCCACCGUGGCCA